UAUUUAGUGGUUCAUAGCAGGUUGUAGUCUUACAGGCUAAUCUCCACCAGAAAAACUCACUUGCGAUGUUACUACUGAUCCUGUUUGAAUACAAAUAUACUACUCCCAGAAAGCCAAUGGCCAUUUUAGGGUAUGGAAUGUAAGCAGCCUAAAUGAAAGGGAACCACCUGACAAUGAAAUGAAUUGGAAACUUUGAAUUGUGACUGCACAUUCUACGUGGAUAAAUUGAAAUUGUUUGAUUUUUAUGCAAUUAUUCAAUUCCACAAUGAUUCAAACAAGUACAGCUAUAACUGUAAAUAAAACACGAAGCUACACAGGGGAACAACCGCACAAUCUGACACUAUCUCUUCUUCUUUCAAUAUUUCCAUAUUCGCUUGGCACAACAUAUUAAAUGUAGGGCACGCUCCGUAUGGUGAUGCUUUGAACAGGUGAGUACCGAGAGCGCUUUCUGCAGGCGCUACAAAGAAGCUAAGCAUCACUGCUUCGGGUAGAAGGUGGUCCUACAAGCCUUCAUUGAAAACGAGCAAUUAUUUUUUACGGAUGGUGACCGAAAGUGGGGUGAGGAUCACUUAUUCUUCGCACGCUCCAGUAACCUAAAGAACUCGCUCCACCGCUGUCUACAAUGCCCUGGCCUGCAGCCACUCAUGCAUUUAGUGGUUGAAUAAAUGUACUUCAAAAUAUCUGGCAAUGAAAACACGUCUCUGAAGUCAGAGAUUAGUCCUGCGUGACUUAGGAAACGACUGGGGUGUGACACUCGGUAUCCACCAAAAAACUGUGAGUGUGGGUAAAGAGGAUCCAGAAACGUGGAGAAAAGGAAAGGUCAUUUGAAAGUAGGUCUGUGUUAACUGGAAGUAGGUGCUCGUAUUUAACAUAAUUUUUACUUCCAGUCACGAAAGCCAACAUUUGUUUUUUGUAAAUAUCACUAAUCUUUGGAAUACAAGAGCGUUGAUUCCAGGUAUUGUGGGAAAAUACAAACCCUGCAUUUAGUGGAUACGACUUUCGUGCUCACAAUGGAUACAUUUGCUUGGAUUUGUGCAAUCAUAUUUACAUCAUGUCUACCUGUGCAAGUGGACUGUGUCAAAGUUUCAGAUGAUGACACAUCACUUCAGCUGUAUGAAAUACUAACCCUUUUUGGUGAGGCGAGUGUCCUUUACAUAUCGCUUGUCACGUCCUUGUUUUCAGUCACAACUACAUACAUUCAAGAGUGGAGACGAAAAAUCAAAGGGCCGAAUCUCUUUCUUUUCCAGACUUUUGCAAAGGAAACAGUAUUCAUGCAAAAUACUUUACUGGGAAUCACCUGUUACUCUUUAUGUCUCUAUGUUGGGGUUAUGUUAUCCUUUUUGGUGUUAUUGGCAUCCACGGGGUUAUCUUACAUGAUAUACGGAUUCCUUUUUUCGAAAAAGUGGAGACAUUUCGUACAGCUUGAUAGCCCUAAAAGGGAGUUUAGUAAUUUCGAAAUGGAAACAGCAUUUUUGGAGUACAUAAUGUUUGCCAGGACCAUUGCGAUUUUAGCUGCAUUUGUGUUCACAUCACUUUUCUCUGUGGUAUCCCAUGUACGCCUAGUGACAUCAUUGGUGAUAGCGCUCGUUCCAUGCAUUUUCAUCUCAUGGAAGCAGUUGAAAAUUGUAGAACAUCAUAGGGAGCAACAUAACCCUGGAAAUGGUAUUCACGAAGGGGAACAAACAAUGAUGAAGUUUGCACUGUUUUGCAUGAGCAUGGUUAAUAUAGCCACAUGCGUAUUCUUAGUCGUAUUCCUACUGCAACAUCCCGUCGUAUCUCCAGCUGUGACCAAAAUAUUAUGCUUGGUGAUCCUUCUUCCAUGCGUGUUCAUCCUUUGGGAUCAGUGGGAACGUAUUGAGCUUCAGCUCCUGAAUUACCCACGCAGCUACUAUCUCCAAAGGGAAAAUGCACUUCUUCAUCACCCAUCAUUAGGCAUGACAGCUGCUUUUUAUGCCGCAUGUGUAUAUCAAAUGCUGUACCCGAUGUUAUCUCCAGUGGUUUCACCAGUAGUAUUCCUACUGAAGUACAUGGUCAAUCUAAGGAAGCACUGAGUUGAACUGUGUAAAGAUCGCUGUCGCAGGUGUCUUUGACAAAAGUGCUGGAGAAAAUAAUAGCAGUAGACAGUGCGAACUGCUUCAUAAGCACUUAAACACUCAUGUUUUCCUCUUCGCAGUGUGAACCGUACGGAGGAUGUUGAUUCCCCUACAGGAUUCAAAUCCAUAUCACAAAAUAUAAACUUUGUGUCAAGAGUAAGGUGAAAUUCUGAUAAUUGGCGGUAAAACAUUUGAUGAAGUCUAUUUAGGGAUAUCUACAAAACUUCAAGACAUUUUUAAAGCUUGUGACAGAGUGUGUUAUCGCUAACAAGACAUCAACUAUUCAAAAUUGAGAUGAAAGACAAGAGACAUAAGUCCUGUAGUAAGGAUGUACAAGGAUGACAAGGGAUAUACCAUCUUCUGGUUCAUGUGCCUUAAUCUACACUGCAAGAAGUACACGAAUCUUCACUGAUUAUUAUUAAUAAUAAUAAUAAGUAAGCAAUAUUGCACAGGUGGACCCAGAUGUUGCAACAAGUGAGAAAACAAAUAAAAUAUCCAAUUUUCUUGGAAAAAAUAUUCUACAAAAUGACCUGUCUCUUGUUGGAAAGCUACGCUCUUACUUAUUACUGUACAACAUUCUACAUAUUAUCUCCCUUGCUAUUCAAUUACAAAUGAAUUUGCAUUCGGGAAAAUAGAAGACUAUUUCCCGUCUUAACUAUAAAAUUUUACCAGGAUUAAAAAUUAGCUAUCUUGCCCUAUACAAACUCAUUAUAAUCUCUAUGUAUUUAUAGAUAUUGUUUUAUCCAUUUUUUUACAAUAAAAUAUGCUUUUAAGUAUUUUGGAGUGUUGAAAAGUUUUCAACAGUGUAAAUUGUUUGUUUCCAUCAGAAAUUAAAAGAUUUGCAUGGUGCUUUUAUGAUGCUUUU
RNAcentral lists this unclassified non-coding RNA (2958 nucleotides) under Pomacea canaliculata. RNAcentral's name for it is "uncharacterized LOC112569644, transcript variant X1". The record is from RNAcentral. Lineage: Eukaryota; Metazoa; Mollusca; Gastropoda; Architaenioglossa; Ampullariidae.